This 91-nucleotide signal recognition particle RNA is filed under the name Alphaproteobacteria bacterium. Its description in RNAcentral is "signal recognition particle sRNA small type". It matches the Rfam family "Bacterial small signal recognition particle RNA". Rfam says of the family: The signal recognition particle (SRP) is a universally conserved ribonucleoprotein involved in the co-translational targeting of proteins to membranes. Archaeal SRP consists of a 7S RNA and homologues of the eukaryotic SRP19 and SRP54 proteins. In most bacteria, the SRP consists of a 4.5S RNA and the Ffh protein (a homologue of the eukaryotic SRP54 protein). Lineage: Bacteria; Pseudomonadati; Pseudomonadota; Alphaproteobacteria. The record is from RNAcentral.
CCCGCCGGUAUGGACGUCCCCAGCUGUGAACCCCGUCAGGCCCGGAAGGGAGCAGCGGCAACGGUAUGGAGCGGGUCGUGCCGGCUCAUCG